UGAGUACGAGCUGCUACGGCAGCGAAGUGGGUGACGUCAAGCUUCCAAGAAAAGCCCUAUACCCGUUAAGGCAUGACGGCCUGUACCCGAAACCGACACAGGUGGGGUGGUAGAGAAUACCGAGGGGCGCGAGGUAACUCUCUCUAAGGAACUCGGCAAAAUGGCCCCGUAACUCCGGGAGAAGGGGUGCCACCGCAAGGUGGUCGCAGUGAAGAGGCCCAGGCGACUGUUUACCAAAAACACAGGUCUCCGCUAAGUCGCAAGACGAUGUAUGGGGGCUGACGCCUGCCCAGUGCCGGAAGGUUAAGGAAGCUGGUCAGCGUAAGCGAAGCUGGCGACUGAAGCCCCGGUGAACGGCGGCCGUAACUAUAACGGUCCUAAGGUAGCGAAAUUCCUUGUCGGGUAAGUUCCGACCCGCACGAAAGGCGUAACGAUCUGGGCGCUGUCUCGGAGAGAGGCUCGGCGAAAUAGAAUUGUCUGUGAAGAUGCGGACUACGUGCACCCGGACAGAAAGACCCUAUGAAGCUUUACUGUAGCUUGGUAUUGUGCCCGGGCUCUGAAUGCGCAGGAUAGGUGGGAGGCUUUGAUCCAUUGCUUGUGGGUGAUGGUGAGCCAACGGUGAGAUACCACUCUUUCAGAGCUAGGGUUCUAACGGUCACCCGUCAUCCGGGGACCGGACAGUAUCAGGUGGGCAGUUUGACUGGGGCGGUCGCCUCCUAAAAGGUAACGGAGGCGCGCAAAGGUUCCCUCAGGCUGGUUGGAAAUCAGCCGACGAGUGUAAAGGCAGAAGGGAGCUUGACUGUGAGACCUACAAGUCGAACAGGGACGAAAGUCGGCCUUAGUGAUCCGACGGUCCUGAGUGGAAGGGCCGUCGCUCAACGGAUAAAAGUUACUCUAAGGAUAACAGGCUGAUCUCCCCCAAGAGUUCACAUCGACGGGGAGGUUUGGCACCUCGAUGUCGGCUCAUCGCAACCUGGGGCUGAAGUCGGUCCCAAGGGUUGGGCUGUUCGCCCAUUAAAGCGGUACGCGAGCCGGGUUCAGAACGUCGUGAGACAGUUCGGUCCAUAUCCGGUGCAUGCGCAGGAAUAUUGAGAGGAUUUCUCCCUAGUACGAGAGGACCGGGAGGAACGCACCUCUGGUGUGCCAGUUAUCGUGCCAACGGUAAACGCUGGGUAGCCAUGUGCGGAGUGGAUAACCGCUGAAAGCAUCUAAGUGGGAAGCCCACCUCAAGAUGAGUAUUCCCAUGGCGUUAGCCAGUAAGGUCACGGGCAGAACACCCGUUGAUAGGCUCUACGUGGAAGCCGGGUAACCGGUGAAGCGGAGGAGUACUAAUAGACC
Molecule: ribosomal RNA, 1338 nt
Filed under: metagenome
Description: bacterial LSU rRNA
Rfam family: Bacterial large subunit ribosomal RNA
Source: RNAcentral